RNAcentral lists this ribosomal RNA (773 nucleotides) under uncultured bacterium. RNAcentral's name for it is "bacterial SSU rRNA". It matches the Rfam family "Bacterial small subunit ribosomal RNA", at positions 8 to 796 of the family's 1533-position model. The record is from RNAcentral.
AGAGUUUGAUCAUGGCUCAGGACGAACGCUGGCGGCGCGCCUAAAACAUGCAAGUCGAACGAGAAGCCCGGGCUUGCCCGGGUGGACAGUGGCGAACGGGUGAGUAACACGUGAGGAACCUGCCCCGAAGACCCGGGACAACACCGGGAAACCGGUGCUAAUACCGGAUACCUUCACCGGAUCGCAUGGUCUGGUGAAGAAAUGGAUUCCGCUUCGGGAUGGCCUCGCGGCCUAUCAGCUAGUUGGUGAGGUAACGGCUCACCAAGGCGACGACGGGUAGCUGGUCUGAGAGGAUGUCCAGCCACACUGGGACUGAGACACGGCCCAGACUCCUACGGGAGGCAGCAGUUAGGAAUCUUGCGCAAUGGACGAAAGUCUGACGCAGCGACGCCGCGUGCGGGAUGAAGGCCUUCGGGUUGUAAACCGCUUUCAGCAGGGACGAAAUUGACGGUACCUGCAGAAGAAGCCCCGGCCAACUACGUGCCAGCAGCCGCGGUAAUACGUAGGGGGCAAGCGUUGUCCGGAUUUAUUGGGCGUAAAGAGCUCGUAGGUGGUUCGGUAAGUCGGAUGUGAAAUCUCCAGGCUCAACCUGGAGGGGUCAUUCGAUACUGCCGUGACUAGAGGUCGGUAGGGGAGUGUGGAAUUCCUGGUGGAGCGGUGAAAUGCGCAGAUAUCAGGAGGAACACCCGUAGCGAAGGCGGCACUCUGGGCCGAUACUGACACUGAGGAGCGAAAGCGUGGGGAGCGAACAGGAUUAGAUACCCUAGUAGUCC